Sitophilus oryzae (rice weevil) is the source of this 381-nucleotide long non-coding RNA. RefSeq lists it as uncharacterized. The record is from RefSeq and is a predicted model, not a curated record. NCBI's taxonomy places the organism in Eukaryota, Metazoa, Arthropoda, Insecta, Coleoptera, Curculionidae. The transcript has 2 exons.
GUGAAAACUACCAAGGUUUCCUGAAGGUGCGCCAGACGCAGCAGAAAACCUACCAGUUUUGGAAGAAGAUAGAGGCAACGGGCAGUUCUUGAAGGUGCACCAAGAAGCAGCAAGAAGCACGACACGAGACGUAGACAAUGGGGACACUGAAGGAGCACCAGACGCAGCAGCAAGUCACCAGGGAAGCUUUUGUUUUCACCAGAUGAUGACGGGCUUAUAGCGCAUCAUCAAUGCUAAUCCCUCACGGAAAUACAGUCCAGUCCAAUAUUUCAAGAGAUUUUAUUCCACCAUUCGACAUUAGUGAUAAUUGUUGCGAAAGGAUAAAGGAAGAAAAAAUAACCAUUAGUGAAAUAUUUCUCAACGAACAUUAUAGGAAAUUAA